Molecule: ribosomal RNA, 266 nt
Filed under: uncultured bacterium
Lineage: Bacteria
Description: partial 16S ribosomal RNA
Rfam family: Bacterial small subunit ribosomal RNA
Source: RNAcentral
GGCGACCGGCGCACGGGUGGAGUAACACGUAUCCAACCUGCCGAUGACUCGGGGAUAGCCUUUUCGAAAGAAAGAUUAAUACCCGAUGGCAUAGUUCUUCCGCAUGGUGGAACUAUUAAAGAAUUUCGGUCAUCGAUGGGGAUGCGUUCCAUUAGGUUGUUGGCGGGGUAACGGCCCACCAAGCCUUCGAUGGAUAGGGGUUCUGAGAGGAAGGUCCCCCACAUUGGAACUGAGACACGGUCCAAACUCCUACGGGAGGCAGCAUG